UUCUUUUGCCGUAAAAAGUCAAGAGCAUUCACUUAGGGUGAGUAAGAAAUAAGUUGGGGAGAACGAAAAUGAGAAUCGGUAAGUGACACAACUCUUGAAAAACCGAGCAAGCAUUGAAAAAAAAUGAGAAAAGAGAAACAUCUGUUUUGUGAAUACGAUGUGAAAAGAAAAGAAAAAAAAAUAGAGAAAAUGAAAAUGAAUGCUUGCUUGGAAGAAAAAUAGUGAAAAACAAAAAUUGAGUUGUGAAAUAAGA
This 253-nucleotide long non-coding RNA is filed under the name Lathyrus oleraceus (garden pea). RNAcentral describes it as "Pisum sativum (pea) long non-coding RNA (PSAT_LNC022358)". The record is from RNAcentral. Lineage: Eukaryota; Viridiplantae; Streptophyta; Magnoliopsida; Fabales; Fabaceae.